This 76-nucleotide transfer RNA is filed under the name Dehalococcoidales bacterium. RNAcentral describes it as "tRNA-Ala". It matches the Rfam family "tRNA". From Rfam's summary of the family: Transfer RNA (tRNA) molecules are approximately 80 nucleotides in length. Their secondary structure includes four short double-helical elements and three loops (D, anti-codon, and T loops). Lineage: Bacteria; Bacillati; Chloroflexota; Dehalococcoidia; Dehalococcoidales. The record is from RNAcentral.
GGGGCUGUAGCUCAAUUGGGAGAGCGAUUGAAUGGCAUUCAAUAGGUAGGGGGUUCGAAUCCCCCCAGCUCCACCA